This 253-nucleotide ribosomal RNA is filed under the name uncultured bacterium. Its description in RNAcentral is "partial 16S ribosomal RNA". It matches the Rfam family "Bacterial small subunit ribosomal RNA", at positions 524 to 776 of the family's 1533-position model. The record is from RNAcentral.
GACAGAGGGUGCAAACGUUGUUCGGAAUUACUGGGCGUAAAGCGCGCGUAGGCGGCUUUGUAAGUUAGAGGUGAAAGCCCGGAGCUCAACUCCGGAAUUGCCUUUAAGACUGCAUCGCUAGAAUCAUGGAGAGGUUAGUGGAAUUCCGAGUGUAGAGGUGAAAUUCGUAGAUAUUCGGAAGAACACCAGUGGCGAAGGCGACUAACUGGACAUGUAUUGACGCUGAGGUGCGAAAGCGUGGGGAGCAAACAGG